Molecule: long non-coding RNA, 1177 nt
Filed under: Zostera marina
Lineage: Eukaryota; Viridiplantae; Streptophyta; Magnoliopsida; Alismatales; Zosteraceae
Description: long non-coding RNA (ZMAR_LNC000201)
Source: RNAcentral
AUAAUCUUCCCUUCGGCCCUAGCAUUCUAACCUGAGCUAAUUUGGUUCUGUUUCCAAUUCAGAGUUUGGCUCUGUUUUGUCAUGGCGACGAAAAAUUUGGUAUUCUUAUCCUUGUAGUCAGUAGGUCCAUUCUGUAUCGUUGUCUCGUGUCCUCGUCUUGCAUCGGUAUUAGCAGUUCUGAUUUUUUAAUAUUCAUAUUUAAGCCUAACCUGAGCUAUUACAUCAAAUGAGUUUAUUUCUAGAACCCUCUCUCCUCCUUCUGAAUUCCUUUCUCGACUUGCGUUAUUUCCUUUCUUGCUAUUAAUGUACCACAUGCGCUGAUAGAUGGAGAUCUUCUAAAAGAAGAACGAACGCAACUGCUAAUCCAGUGCUAAUUAAAUUUUACGGACAACCUGUGACGAAAAGGGAUAUCAAUGAAUGGGCGAAGGUGAUUAAUGAAACCAAAACAACCAAGGUAUGAAAGAAUCUUGAAGAAGAAUUAUCGUCUCGUUUAGAAAUUUAUGCAAAGUCGAUACGUUUGCGAAAUUUCAAAAAGUAUAAUCAGAUCCUUAGCUGAUAAUCUAACCGGGUUAGAAAAUAAGAGGAAGAUUAGAGGAGGUAAGAUUUUUUUAAAAUAAAAAUAGAGGCAAGGGCUUCAGAAUGAAAGAGGAAGAAGAACAUUUGGUUUUAAAACAGCAUUGGCAUUGAGUGAUUGAUAGCAGAAAGAAAGUAAAGAAAGCAUUGUGCAGACAUUUAGUAAGAGCAGCAAAGUAAGUUUUUAAAAAAUAACUCAGGCGUGGCAGGAUAUUAGUCCGUGGAGUUUGGAAGUGGGGUCUAAGAGUACAGUUGAACGGUUGAACAUGUGUCGAGGUUUGAGUGGGGAGAAGGAGGUCCAGCAAACUGCAGGCAGACAAUCCUGAGCGUCUACUUAUUCACGAGACUUAAAAUGCAGGCAGACAUGCUGUUACAUCUUCCAGGAUUGGAUUCCUGGAAGAGAUAAAGAAAGAAGAAAGUGGAAUAAAUGUUAUGAUGUGACAUCACUAGCCUCACAUCACUGUGCACUGUCAACACAAUUCGAGAUUUCCUUCUCAUUGCGACUAUAUCGAUCACCCUUAAAUUCUGUGAUUUCUGCUGAUGGCCCUUAAUUUUUUAAGUUGGUAACUGGUAAGUACCCAACUAACUUACUGCGCGCUAUGAA